GGGGAAUUUUGGACAAUGGGCGCAAGCCUGAUCCAGCAAUGCCGCGUGCAGGAUGAAGGCCUUCGGGUUGUAAACUGCUUUUGUACGGAACGAAACGGUUCUCUCUAAUACAGGGGGCUAAUGACGGUACCGUAAGAAUAAGCACCGGCUAACUACGUGCCAGCAGCCGCGGUAAUACGUAGGGUGCGAGCGUUAAUCGGAAUUACUGGGCGUAAAGCGUGCGCAGGCGGUGAUGUAAGACAGAUGUGAAAUCCCCGGGCUCAACCUGGGACCUGCAUUUGUGACUGCAUCGCUGGAGUGCGGCAGAGGGGGAUGGAAUUCCGCGUGUAGCAGUGAAAUGCGUAGAUAUGCGGAGGAACACCGAUGGCGAAGGCAAUCCCCUGGGCCUGCACUGACGCUCAUGCACGAAAGCGUGGGGAGCAAACA
RNAcentral lists this ribosomal RNA (426 nucleotides) under uncultured Comamonadaceae bacterium. RNAcentral describes it as "bacterial SSU rRNA". It matches the Rfam family "Bacterial small subunit ribosomal RNA", at positions 356 to 774 of the family's 1533-position model. The record is from RNAcentral. Lineage: Bacteria; Pseudomonadati; Pseudomonadota; Betaproteobacteria; Burkholderiales; Comamonadaceae.